AAGCAUAUCAAUAAGCGGAGGAAAAGAAACCAACAGGGAUUGCCUCAGUAACGGCGAGUGAAGCGGCAACAGCUCAAAUUUUAAAGCCGGCGUCCUCGACGCCCGCGUUGUAAUUUGGAGAGGCAUCUUCGGUUUGGGCGCCAGCCUAUGUUCCUUGGAACAGGACGUCACAGAGGGUGAGAAUCCCGUGCUUGGCUGGCUGUCCCUCUCCAUGUGAAGUGUCUUCGACGAGUCGAGUUGUUUGGGAAUGCAGCUCAAAAUGGGUGGUAAAUUUCAUCUAAAGCUAAAUAUUGGCGGGAGACCGAUAGCGCACAAGUAGAGUGAUCGAAAGAUGAAAAGCACUUUGAAAAUAGAGUUAAAAAGUACGUGAAAUUGUUGAAAGGGAAGCGCUUGAGACCAGACUCGGCCGACGGCGAUCAGCGGCCCUUCUGGGCUGUGCACUCGUCAUCGGUUCGGGCCAGCAUCGGUCGAGACGGCGGGAUAAAGGCCCGAGGAAUGUGGCUCCUCUCGGGGAGUGUUAUAGCCUCGGGCGCAAUGCCGCCCGCCUCGACCGAGGACCGCGCUCUUUUGCUAGGAUGCUGGCGUAAUGGUCUUCAGCGACCCGUCUUGAAACACGGACCAAGGAGUCUAACAUCUAUGCGAGUGUUUGGGUGUCAAACCCUUGCGCGUAAUGAAAGUGAACGGAGGUGGGAACCCCUCCCCUGGGGGGGCGCACCAUCGACCGAUCCUGAUGUCUUCGGAUGGAUUUGAGUAGGAGCAUAGCUGUUGGGACCCGAAAGAUGGUGAACUAUGCCUGAAUAGGGUGAAGCCAGAGGAAACUCUGGUGGAGGCUCGCAGCGGUUCUGACGUGCAAAUCGAUCGUCAAAUUUGGGUAUAGGGGCGAAAGA
The sequence is a ribosomal RNA, 887 nucleotides long. It matches the Rfam family "Eukaryotic large subunit ribosomal RNA", at positions 36 to 930 of the family's 3401-position model.